AACGUAGGUUCCGAGCGUUAUCCGGAUUUACUGGGCGUAAAGCGCGUUCAGGCGGUUUGGCAAGUCGGGCAUGAAAUCUCUCGGCUCAACCGGGAGAGGUUGUCCGAUACUGCUGGACUUGAGGGCAGUAGAGGGUGGUGGAAUUCCAGGUGUAGCGGUGAAAUGCGUAGAUAUCUGGAGGAACACCGGUGGCGAAGGCGGCAUCCUGGACCGGUAUUGACACUGAGGCGCGAAAGCCAGGGGAGCAAACGGG
RNAcentral lists this ribosomal RNA (253 nucleotides) under uncultured bacterium. RNAcentral's name for it is "partial 16S ribosomal RNA". It matches the Rfam family "Bacterial small subunit ribosomal RNA", at positions 524 to 776 of the family's 1533-position model. The record is from RNAcentral.